This is a non-coding RNA of Trichobilharzia regenti, 46 nucleotides long. The record is from Rfam. Lineage: Eukaryota; Metazoa; Platyhelminthes; Trematoda; Strigeidida; Schistosomatidae.
GUACUGCUGAAGAGCCCCAGACUACGACGAAACAGCUGUCCAGUAC